GACGAACGCUGGCGGCGUGCUUAACACAUGCAAGUCGAGCGGUAAGGCCCUUUCGGGGGUACACGAGCGGCGAACGGGUGAGUAACACGUGGGUGACCUGCCCUCAGCUCUGGGAUAAGCCUGGGAAACCGGGUCUAAUACUGGAUAUGACUCCAUGACGCAUGUUGUGGGGUGGAAAGCCUUGUGCGGCUGAGGAUGGGCCCGCGGCCUAUCAGCUUGUUGGUGGGGUGAUGGCCUACCAAGGCGACGACGGGUAGCCGGCCUGAGAGGGCGACCGGCCACACUGGGACUGAGACACGGCCCAGACUCCUACGGGAGGCAGCAGUGGGGAAUCUUGCGCAAUGGGCGAAAGCCUGACGCAGUGACGCCGCGUGAGGGAUGAC
RNAcentral lists this ribosomal RNA (383 nucleotides) under uncultured bacterium. Its description in RNAcentral is "bacterial SSU rRNA". It matches the Rfam family "Bacterial small subunit ribosomal RNA", at positions 28 to 412 of the family's 1533-position model. The record is from RNAcentral.